Long non-coding RNA from Oxyura jamaicensis (ruddy duck), 738 nucleotides. RefSeq lists it as uncharacterized. The record is from RefSeq and is a predicted model, not a curated record. The transcript has 3 exons. Lineage: Eukaryota; Metazoa; Chordata; Aves; Anseriformes; Anatidae.
CUGAAAUGCAGUGGGAAACGGUAAAUGAAUGUGAAUUUUACAGCAAAAUCCUGUAGGAGUUUCCAGGGGCACCUGGAAAUCACUCCAGCUGAAUAACCUGCUACUAAAAGCCAGUGUGGGCAGGUGGGAUUGAAUGAAAGAACCAGAGAGAAAUAGUCACAGCCAAAAUGCCAACCAAAAGAAGAACAUAAUGUUCUUCUGCUCCUCUGUCCAAAGGAAAGAAAUCUACCACAAGGGAAGAAAUCUGCCACAUCCUCCCUGCCUGACAGAAAGUGGGCAGCAGGACUUGGGCUCCAGAGGAAAAUAAAAUCAGCGAGAAAGACUCAAGUGAAGCACUGAAGAGUUUAGGAGGAACAAGAGUCCAUGUUCACGCUACGGUGUUGAUAGGCCCGACUUCAAAUGAUUUUUGCAUGCCUUCAACCCUCCUGAGCCAGAGCCAGCUCUCCUCCAGGCUGGUUUCCAAGGGGAGAUGUCACACCACAAAAUCUCCCUCCGUGCCCUGCCACAGUUGGUCCUGAUUUGACUGUCUCUGUGGAGAAGCUAAGGAUCAAAUGCUCCGUGGCGCCAGACUGUUUUCUUUUGCAGCCUGCAGGAACCGCUGCUGACCCUGGUCAGAAGAGGCACGCUGCUCCCUGCGCUGGGGGGGCUGCAGCACCCCUCCUGCCAAGCUGAUGGAUUGCGGCCCCGAUUCUGUGAGCGGAUCGAACUGACCCUGUGAAAAGCCUGAAGAGAGGCAAC